UAUUAUCUACGUACACCUUUAAAAUGAAGUGAAACUUCUCAACUUGAAGUAGUUUAUGCUCUCUUUUCCCUUCCAACCAAAGAAAACUUCUCAAGCAGCCAUAAGAACGAUGCCCUUUCACCUUCUGCUAUGUAUUUCUAAAUUCAGAACAUGACACAGGUGGUAGGAGACAUUAAGAGUUCUGUUUGUGUUCGUCCCUGAUUCUCUUAAUGCGUUGCGUAAUUUUGUGUUUUUUUCUACUCGAUUGUAUUACGAUCUGAGAUGGACUGAUCGGAGAAGAUUAGAAAGUUUAUUUGUUAAAUUUCUAUACAAGAUCGGUAUACAUACUCGAAUAGAUUGUGAUUUUUUUCCCCUCUUUGUUUCCGUUUUCUUGGUUCGAUCAUCUACUUCUUUGGGAUGGUCAGUUCUGUUUGUGUUCGUCCCUGAUUCUCUUAAUGUGUUGCAUAAUUUUGUGUUUUUUUCUACUCGAUUGUAUUACGAUCUGAGAUGGACUGAUCGGAGAAGAUUAGAAAGUUUAUUUGUUAAAUUUCUAUACAAGAUCGGUAUACAUACUCGAAUAGAUUGUGAUUUUUUUCCCCUCUUUGUUUCCGUUUUCUUGGUUCGAUCAUCUACUUCUUUGGGAUGGUCAGUUCUGUUUGUGUUCGUCCCUGAUUCUCUUAAUGUGUUGCAUAAUUUUGUGUUUUUUUCUACUCGAUUGUAUUACGAUCUGAGAUGGACUGAUCGGAGAAGAUUAGAAAGUUUAUUUGUUAAAUUUCUAUACAAGAUCGGUAUACAUACUCUAAUAGAUUGUGAAUUUUUUCCCCUCUUUGUUUCCGUUUUCUUGGUUCGAUCAUCUGCUUCUUUGGGAUGGUCAGUUCUGUUUGUGUUCGUCCCUGAUUCUCUUAAUGCGUUGCGUAAUUUUGUGUUUUUCUCUACUCGAUUUUGAGUUAUGCUUUGUUAGUCUCUGAUUCUCUUAAUUCGUUGCAUAAUUUGGUGGUUUUCUUCUAAUCGAUGGUGAUUUCUCAUACAAUAUGGUGACUUUUCUGGUUUUGAUUCUUUUACGCAGCAGCUCCUUACACAGAAAAUGCUUAUUUUUAUUACUAUUAUUUUUAUUUGCUGUUGAACCUAAGGAGGGAGCACCGACUCGGAAGGCUCAAUAUCUCACAAACAUGUUUUGUGCAGCUAUUGCAAUCAGUAUGUUGACCGAGAUGCUUUGAUGUACCUCAUUUUGGCCAAUGAAAUACUGCACGUUCUACAUCCAAAUAUAAUAACAAUUGCUGAGGAUUCAACAGAUUGACGAAUGGAUGCAACAAGGACCUCUCAAAUCAUCUGAUCAUGAAGUAUUGGGUCAUCUUCUGAAUGACUUAGCAUUGGCCUCCCAACACCAAAGGCAGCAGAUUUUCUUGGUUCGAUCAUCUGCUUCUUUGGGAUGGUGAGUUUUGUUUGUGUUUGUCCUUGAUUCUCUUAAUGCGUUGCGUAAUUUUGUGUUUUUUUCUACUCGAUUGUGAGUUCUGCUUUGUUAGUCUCUGAUUCAUGUUCUCAUUUAUUUUCAUUAGUUUUUGUCUUAAUCCAUAAGUUUUACAAAAUUAUAUUAAUAUUAAUUCUUUAAAAAAACUAAUUUUGAUACAUUUGACAUGUAUUUUUAAAUCGGAUUUUAUAUGAAAGUUCUUUUACCAAAAAUAUUAUCUAUUUACUACAGCAUAAUUGAUA
This is a long non-coding RNA of Camelina sativa (false flax), 1689 nucleotides long. RefSeq lists it as uncharacterized. Lineage: Eukaryota; Viridiplantae; Streptophyta; Magnoliopsida; Brassicales; Brassicaceae. The record is from RefSeq and is a predicted model, not a curated record.